Non-coding RNA from Petromyzon marinus (sea lamprey), 1187 nucleotides. NCBI's taxonomy places the organism in Eukaryota, Metazoa, Chordata, Hyperoartia, Petromyzontiformes, Petromyzontidae. The record is from RefSeq and is a predicted model, not a curated record.
CGUGCACACGCACAACAAAAUCCCAGGAUGCAUCAUUGCAUCAGAUCAGAUGACCUCCCAGAAUUCUCCGGGGCUGCUCGCUCAGCCAAGCUCAAGAGGUCUGACAUGCCAAGGGGCCAGCCACAAACAGCACGCCUCAACGUGCAGCCCUGCAUAUCGCUUUGCCCACUCCGCUGCUGACCAAAGAAAGGGCCUCAACUAAAGAGGGAGCUCUGGAGAGGCGCCCUCUCAAUGCGCAAUGGAUAAAAGUCGGCGGUGACUACGAGCGGAGGACAGUCACCGAGCGCGAUGGCGGCGAUGGCUGCCGCUGCCGUCCGCCAGGGACCGCGGCGAGAGCGGCCGUGAUGGGGUUAACGAAGACGCGGACUGGGAUCAAUUUUGGUACCGUUACGAAAGACUGCGGCGCACCGAGCAAGACCAAAACACGGUCAUUGGCUGUGAGUGUACAUCGAAAAGAUUGAGCGAGUUCACCGAUCGUCUGACCCAAAAGAAUUGAAGAUAAAACAAAAUUGAUCGCUUCCUCACGCCGACAUAUCAUGACCGAGGAGUGGACAACAUCUUCCACCUGUUGACGAGACUAAGAGAAUUAUUCGAUGAAACCCCACACAGACUUAGAGACGUGACCAAUAUUCCGCAAAAAAAGGCAACUUCGGUUAAACACCGCUGCUCGCACCCAUGGCACAAAGCCACUGGUCGCUUUCCACUUUUAAAUCUAGAUUGAAAACUCAUUUCUUUUAGAAUUGCUUUUUUGUGUUCAGUUUGUUGUCCUUUCACCCGCACCUCCAAUUAGCACGGUGCGAAAGAAGUUCAACGUACACACACACACUUACAGACACAGGAGGAGGCAUCAGCCCAGGGGCCCCGACGACUUGACUGGCCAAUUGACUCCGCUAAAUGGGACUCAAUCUAAAAACAUACUCUGGUGGCCCAAAUACAAAACAACCCCAUCGCAGGUUGGGGAAGGAAGUGUAGGUGUUGCCCCCCCUCCCCCCCCCCCAUUCUCGUCCAAGGAUAAUUACUUUCGCUUGCGCCAAUUUCAAAUUUGUUGUUUUCUAGAUAAUGAGCGGUCCUGAGCCGUUAUAGGUCAACCAACCGGCGGGUAACGUGAAAUAAAUUAAUGAAUGCACAAAGCAUUCGCGAGUCACGGCAUUGUAAAUGUCGCGCGUUUUAAUUGCGUAUUUGCGCUU